This 465-nucleotide ribosomal RNA is filed under the name Vreelandella stevensii. Its description in RNAcentral is "partial 16S ribosomal RNA". It matches the Rfam family "Bacterial small subunit ribosomal RNA", at positions 338 to 795 of the family's 1533-position model. Lineage: Bacteria; Pseudomonadati; Pseudomonadota; Gammaproteobacteria; Oceanospirillales; Halomonadaceae. The record is from RNAcentral.
CCUACGGGGGGCAGCAGUGGGGAAUAUUGGACAAUGGGGGGAACCCUGAUCCAGCCAUGCCGCGUGUGUGAAGAAGGCCCUCGGGUUGUAAAGCACUUUCAGUGAGGAAGAACGCCUGGUGGUUAAUACCCAUCAGGAAAGACAUCACUCACAGAAGAAGCACCGGCUAACUCUGUGCCAGCAGCCGCGGUAAUACGGAGGGUGCGAGCGUUAAUCGGAAUUACUGGGCGUAAAGCGCGCGUAGGUGGCUUGAUAAGCCGGUUGUGAAAGCCCCGGGCUCAACCUGGGAACGGCAUCCGGAACUGUCAAGCUAGAGUGCAGGAGAGGAAGGUAGAAUUCCCGGUGUAGCGGUGAAAUGCGUAGAGAUCGGGAGGAAUACCAGUGGCGAAGGCGGCCUUCUGGACUGACACUGACACUGAGGUGCGAAAGCGUGGGUAGCAAACAGGAUUAGAUACCCUUGUAGUC